RNAcentral lists this ribosomal RNA (100 nucleotides) under uncultured bacterium. RNAcentral describes it as "partial 16S ribosomal RNA". The record is from RNAcentral.
UUGCCGCGUGUGUGAAGAAAGGUCUUCGGAUUCGUAAAGCACUUUCGACGGGGACGAUGAUGACGGUACCCGUAGAAGAAGCCCCGGCUAAACUUCGUGC